CUGUUGUGCGUCCCCACACAAAAAAUCUCGCCGGUCCACGUGCUCUCCCCCGGAAACGCUUCUUCUCGUCUUCCCCAGUUCUGCCGCCGCCGCCGCCUACCUCUGCCCCAACCUUGCCACCUCCUCUGCCCGUCUACCGUCCUUCCGUCACACCCCGAGGCCCUCAUCACCUCUUCCCACCCGCUCAUCUGCUUUGUGCUGUCGGCCUCCCUCUCGUCCGCUAACCGGCCAUCGCGACGGGGAGCUAGAUCUGCGCCGACACGCCUCAUCAUCGCCUUCGUCUUCUGCUGUGUGCCUACACAUCGGCUAUAGGGACAAGGACCUCGCCGGCUCGCGCAUAAUAGGUCAACGGCAAGCAGUGGAGGUGCAGCAGCGGUCGAAGAUGGUGGACCAGAUCAGCGCGUCAUGGGGGUGGACUCCAAGGCCGUCACGUGUAGAGAAGAGAGAGGCCGGCACGGCGGCCGGGCACGGUCUGGAGAACCGGUGGCCGGUAGUGCACGAUAUGGGCGUGCGCGACCUGCGUGAGUUGGAGGCGAGGCGGCAUCCUUGACUAGCAUGCCGUCGUAGAUCCUCAUCGUGCCUCCAGGAGAGGAGCUCGUCGAGGAUCCCCUCUUCUCCACCGAUCCAUGAUGGAGGGUCAUAUAUGGAGGACUGGAUUUGAAUGGAAAGAAUUGGAAGGAGUUUUUUUUUCCGGAUGUUCCUGAGGCACUAAAGAACUUGCAUUCUCACCGAAUGAAGGUAUGUAUAUAUUUGGUCAAACUCUUCUGAGAUGUGAAUUGGGCUUUUAAGGCAUAAAACUAGAUUGUCACUGGCUGUGUUUAUUGUUCAUACUUCGUAAAUGAGUGAUUUAGGUCAGAAAGUUGUCUCCUGAGCUAAAGUGUCAAGAAUAAUACCCAUAGCAGAACUCUGUGAAUCAUUCACACAAAAAAAAGAGUGUACUUCUGCAACGUGCUGAACCAUUGAGAAAGUCAUCAAAUAUUCAGUUGCUCUACGGUUUGUCUAUUCUACUUUCAUAUAUGCAAAUCAAUAUCGGUUUGAAUAAAGCAGAAUGAUAUGAUGCUAUGGAAUGCUCAGUUCAUCACCAUACUGAGAAAUAAGAUUGUUUUUUUGGCUGGUAGAUUGUCAAAAGUCGUAAUGUAGUGAAGCAUCGAGUAUUAGUUGGACAUGGUAGAUGUAACCGAGCUCUGUUAUAAUUAGAAGAGAAUAAGUAAAAAUGCGAGGAGAUCAAGAAGUUGAUAGUUGAGCUGGACUACUUGAGGAAGCGGGUUCAGGAGGUCAAACCCAACAACAACUGUGGCUUCGGAAAAGAUGUAAGCUCUCAUGUUAUAAGAUUGGUUGCAUGUUCUUUAAUUAGCAAUUGUUCUCGUCAUUUAUAAUUUACUUGCUCACUUUUUUCUCACCAAUAGUUAUUAUAUGAAAGGAAUUGCUGGACAUGAUGUUUGUUUGACCAAAACCCUUUCGUUGUGGUUUCUCCAUAUGAAUUUUCUGAAGAAAAUAUGUCAAUCCGGUUCUCCACUUAUGCAACUCUAAAAGUAAAAAAAUUAGAGACUACUUUGUGUUGAUUCAAUUAUAUCUUUGUUUGCCUACUUUCAUCUAGGUUGAUCUAUAGUCUUAUGGAACUAAUUUUGGUGAUGAAAUAUCUUCCAUCGAACUGAUGAAAAUAUUUCCCUUUUUUCCUUGCAGCCUUAGUAAUUAGUUUUACAACUCUGCAACUACAAUAUACAUUCUAAUCUGAGCCUUAGUAAUUAGUUUUACAACUCUGCAACUGCAAUAUACAUUCUAAUCUGUGACGGAUGUGGGUACAUAUCUGACAUUGUUUCUGUUGUACCAGUGUUUCCUGGUAUGUUUCUGUUCCUUUCUCAAAUUUGUAUUCAUUCAAGUGGCCAUUUGGCGCUCAGAUACGAAGUAUUUGGCCACUGACGUUUGAAUGAAAAUCAGUUGCUGGAUGCUCAUUUAUGGUCCUUUUUUCCUUGUUCUUUUGUUGUACACACUACAAAUCAGUUUCACGAAUUUCUGACAUGAUUGCUUCAAUGAUGAUUUUUGUAGAAGAACUUGCCUUUGGAAUUAAAGAAGAUUGCUUUGACACUGACCAGAGACAUACGAAGGAGUGAGCUAAUUCCGUUGUACUGUGCUUCAUGCUUUUUUAUCAUUGUUUGCGUCUUAAAAAAUUCCCUACAGAUUUCAGGGCUAGCAAAUAUGCUAAAGAUAGGUACAGAGAAGGCAAUCAGUGCACUGGAUUCGAUAUUGAUGCGAGAAAAAAUGCCUUUGGGUCGAAGCCCACUUACUGUUAUUCUCAUGGUGUUUUACCCAAAGGAUGUUAAUCAACACCUUACUUUUGAGUUUCAAAGUUCAAGCGAUUAUUACUUAUCUAUUUAUCUAUAUUACAAUGAAUAAGCCCACUUACUAAUAUUCUAUGCAAGGAGAAAUAUGAAGUAUAUAUUCUAUGCAAAACCAUCAUAAUAAUGUGUAAAGUUCUGGGUUUAUUGAGCAAAAUCACCAUUGAAAAAUAGAAAUGCAUUAGACCUUGGAGGUUACUUGUGAAAAGGAAGUGCUUCAGGUUACUCUUUGACUGUUUGUAGAUCUUCUUUCUGUAAGCUCGUGGUUUCUUCAAGGACUUGAACGGUGUGUAUAUAUUAACUAGCUGAAGGAAGGCAAAUGGAAAGAAUAUGAGAUGCAUAAACUCCCAACUUUAAAUCAGAAGCAAGAAAAUGGUCAAUUUUCACAUUUAUUUCCUUUCUCGUGGCUUCAAAAUAACUUCGUAGUUAUGCAAGCUUGCUCCGUGUAGGGUUUACAACGAAAAAUUGAAGAAGUUGUGAUGGACUGAAAAAAUUGAUCAAAGCAAAGGCGUCCACUCUGGAUACAUAUUUCUAGAAGCUAUAGAGAGUGUAUUUAUGUGUUCAUAGGUAUAUGAUCACUUUCUCCGCUCCCAUUUGUAUGCAUUAUGGUUUACCUUUUGGAAAAGCUGUUGUGUAGUAUUUCUAUGUGUUUCGGUAUGCAUACAUCUGGUUAUUUUUAUUCUGAAGAAUUGAAUUAUUGAAGUGGCCGGUGAUAAGAAGAAGAGAGAUAUACCAGUCACUUGUGUGUUAGUUAUUGCUUCAAACAUGGCAAUCAAAGCCUACAGAAAAAUUCAAACAAUUAAUUAGAGAUCCUCUUCAUUAGAUAAAAUAGAGUUUGCCUGAUUCUUAGAUAGCUUGCUUGCCUUUGCUCUGUUAUUUUCAAUAUAAAUGUAUUGAGUUACUGUGACUAACAUGACACUUGAAUAUUCAGUCUGUGUGUUAGAUGUGAGUGAUGGAUAGGGUCACACUCACAUUUCUCUUCCUACAUUUAUGUUUUUGUCUUGAACUUCGUUUUGGUGCACACCUCCUCUGGAGACUUACUUAUCUUUCUCAUUGUCGUCCUCCUACAAAUUCAGCUUAUGCUUCAGCAUAACAGCUAGGCCUUGCAUAAGUAAAACUGAUGCGCCAUUGUAUUUUUACAAAUACAAUGGUCUAUUUUUGAACGAAAAUGCUUUAUUAGUAUAAAUAAUGGUUCAGUGUUAAUCGAAGGUACAAAGAUCUAUUUUAGUGUUUUUUGCGUUAGAAGAGAGUAAGGUGUGAAAGUGACUCAUCUGAUUUCCUGUAUUUUAGAUAGGGUUCCAAAUAUCAAUCAGAUAUUAAUUAUCUGUGAAAAAUCCUUAGCAUGUGGCCAUCUAAAUUUAUUUGUUUUACUAAGCCGCACAAACCAGAUUCGUACAUGUAGACCCUGUGUCGAUCAACAAGGUGGAAACAGAAUUCUCUCGAAAGAAAAAGGGGAUAUGUAGAUUUUGUGUGCGAGUAAAACAAGGAUAGAUAGAUAGAUAAGGUGUACUACCUCGGAUUGGCUUUUGCUGAAUGGAUUGUUACUUUUGUCUUGCACUGAACUAAACAAGUGCCCAUGUAGUUUCAGAAUCUGAACUUCUGUCUCAUUAAACAAGAAGAGCGAGGCCGGUCAUCCAUGAUGCAUUUAUAGAUCCAUUUGAUGACGAGUCCCAUCCCAUCUUGAAUACCACUAUUUAUUUCUAGGGUACUAGCUAGCAUUACCGUGUUUGUGUUUGUUGAUUAAGUUUUGAGAUUAAUAGCUAUUAUUCUCAUUCUGUAUGUUUUAUAUAUGACAACUUCUGUACAUACUGAUGUCCAGAUAAAUCAGCUAUGUAGUCUUAAUAUUUCAUAUAUACUAUCAAUUUUUGCCUCAAGCUUUAAAUCAGUUAUGUGUUGUGCAACAGAUAUCAUGAGAGUGACCACUCCAAGAUUUUAAUGUUGGUAAUUAUGUAUGGUCCUAGCCAUAUUUGAUAUCAUAUUGUAGGCAAGGUAUAGUCGAUAUUGUCAUUGUUCUUUUUGCGGUUACAAGAUAGGACAAUUCAGUUGUGCAAGAAGAAUUUUAGAGGUUACUUUAGUACUUUGGGUCAUUAGUUUGAAGAAAACAUUUUAGGCUUUCUCUUCUGCUGUUGUUCAUGCGGAUAUCAUUUUUCUUUUAUUCUUGUGUUAAAUAACAAAAGGCUAUACCAUAUUAGUUGGAACUUUAUCUCAAAUUCUUUGUUUGCAAACUGAUUUGUUGAACUUUUGGUGUAAGGAGAUCAACUACGUCUUGCUUGCAUUGCAUGCUACAACACUUCGGUGAAGAAAUAUGCGAUAUAAGAGGCAGGGCAGCGCGUCCGGCUAUCCUACGAGAAGAAGUGCGUGCAGCUGAGGACACAGGAUGCCAACGAUGUGGAGCCGUUCACCAUUGAGGGGACCAGGGCUGCCAUCAGGGACCUCCAGACCAAGGUCAACAUCUCUGUCGUCUUCAUCGACGGCGUGUCCCGAAGUGUCAUUGUCGUCCGUAAUGACUCAUCUAAAUGUACGUAUUUUUAUGAACCACACAACGGAUGAGGUGAGUGUGCUCCUCUCGGACUCGCCGCACGGUUAAAGGGAGGCAUCAAAGGCACGCCGCCACUUGUAACGUGCAGCAAUUUCUAUUGUUUUACCUUAUGUUGCCAUGCAACAAGAUGCUUCUCUCAAUGGCAUUAUAUUGUUGUGUGUUGCCUGUGAUGGCAUUUUAGUUUCUUUCUCACAUGAUGCAUCAAUAUAAUAAGAUCUCAAGAAUUGCAUGUAUGUGUUAUCUAGAUCAAAAAAGGAAACUGAAAGGUUCAUUUC
Triticum urartu is the source of this 5150-nucleotide long non-coding RNA. RefSeq lists it as uncharacterized. The record is from RefSeq and is a predicted model, not a curated record. Lineage: Eukaryota; Viridiplantae; Streptophyta; Magnoliopsida; Poales; Poaceae.